RNAcentral lists this ribosomal RNA (438 nucleotides) under uncultured bacterium. Its description in RNAcentral is "bacterial SSU rRNA". It matches the Rfam family "Bacterial small subunit ribosomal RNA", at positions 958 to 1392 of the family's 1533-position model. The record is from RNAcentral.
AACGCGAAGAACCUUACCAGGGCUUGACAUUGAGCGAAAGAUUCAGAGAUGAAUCCCUUACCUUCGGGUAACGCGAAAACAGGUGGUGCAUGGCUGUCGUCAGCUCGUGUCGUGAGAUGUUGGGUUAAGUCCCGCAACGAGCGCAACCCUUAUCCUUUGUUGCCAGCACGUAAAGGUGGGAACUCAAGGGAGACUGCCGCAGACAAUGCGGAGGAAGGCGGGGAUGACGUCAAGUCAUCAUGCCCCUUAUGUCCUGGGCUACACACGUACUACAAUGGGCUUAAACAAAGUGAAGCAAAACCGCGAGGUUGAGCGAAACACACAAACAAGCUCUCAGUUCGGAUCGGAGGCUGCAACUCGCCUCCGUGAAGUCGGAAUCGCUAGUAAUCGCAGGUCAGCAUACUGCGGUGAAUACGUUCCCGGGUCUUGUACACACCG